CAGUGUGGGCAGAGGUGUGGGAAGAGUGUUGUGAGGAGUGUAGGCAGUGAGGGAAGUUGGGUGUGUGAUGUGGCUGUUGCAGGAAACAUCUGCGAGCAGCGUGAGGGUGGAGGUGAAUCAUUCUGCAGACUGCGGCCUGUUUUGCAUUGAUAAUUUAAGAGUUUGCAAAAAUUGUGUUUGCCAAAGCAGAGGAGUAGCAGCUGUAGCCUUAGCUCAAGCGUUGGGAAAUCUCACAACAUGGGUGCAGGCCCGGCCCAGUCACAACACCAUGUGACUUCAGCCGCCGAGGCCUGGAGCUGGUUAGAGUACCGUCUCCCUGGCAACGGGCCCUGUCCGGCCUAGGCUCAACGCUUCACCACGGCAACCUCUGUGUAUAAUAUGUGGGGCUGAGGAUCAAGAAGGGAACUCAUUCUGCCGGCCACUGGAAACCCUGACUAGAGACUGGAGGAAAAUCUUCCAUGGGGGGGCACUGCUGCUCCAGGUUUGUGACUCUGAUGGUGGAUUGAUGGAGCAGGGGUAGUGGAGACGACAGGCCUUGCUUCUGGCAGUGGAAAGCUUUUUGCGACGUGCUAUCUGGUCAGCGGAAAGCCAAUACGCGAUUAUAACCAAGCCGUCCGCAGUGGACAGAUACAGGAUAUAGAGAAUAAGGGAUAAAAGUUAAGAUCACUGGUCGCAAAGGUGGAUGCAUUCGACUUCUCGCUGAGAAUUUGCAGGAGGAAGGAACUGCAGAUGCUGGUUUACACCGAAGAUAGACACGAAACGCUGGAGUAGCUCAGCGGGACAGGCAGCAUUUCUGGAGAGAAGGAGUGGGUGACGUUUCGGUUCAAGACCCUUCUUCAGACCAACAUCCAUAGUAAGGACGAGAGAGUGGGGGCUGGAAAAUCCGAUGUUCAGCAUGGCCAUGGGGCUGUUCGGGGCGCUGUUUCCUGUGGAUCCAGACAGUCCAUGGUCGUUCCUCAAGCCGGGCGAGAUAUUUGAAGGCUGAGGGGAGUGCGCGUGUCCCAGAGACUGCAUGGCUAACUUGGUGCCAAAGUUGGUGGAGAGGAACUGCUUCAACUGCUGCUUCUGUGACUGCUGGAUGUGGUACUUGGUCGGAUUCUCCAGGAACUCGUGCCUCUGCCAUCCCACUCCAACACCGACCUAUUACGCAGCAAGCUGACAUCUGAUCCAAUGCUUUAUAUAAAGGAGCCAAACGUGGAAAGUGCCGGCUUGUUCUCAAUAAAAUGGACGGUGCUUCACGCAGGGAUUCAGUGACUAUGUUUUACACAUCAAACCGGAACAGUGAAGCAAAUGUCCCCCAGCCAGAAGUCAGUGCCCCAGUUAUCGGUCACCUCAGCUCCCUUCCCAUCUCUCCAUCCCCCGCUCUGAUUCCUAGUUGGACACAGCUUGCAGCGACAGGGCAGAGUCCUUUGCCUCUAACUCCCUCCGUAUACGCCGACAAUACAGAGGGACCAUCACUUUUCAUCUUGCCUGGGGAAAGGGAGCCAGUCCUGAGACAAUGGGGAACAGGGGGCUGAUUAUGAAAGUGAGGAGGAUAGAUUUUGAGCCCCUGGUUCAUACCUGCACUGGGAGGCCUCCAUGGGACAGUGAGAAGAAGCUCCAUGCUAUAUUUACCUCAGGCUGCACAUGGGAAUGUCUGAUUCUUCAGGGUCGGGGAAGUUUGAUUCAUCUCAGUUUCUAACAUAUUUCACAAAGGACGUUCUUUUAGAAAGGAGAUGGGGAGAAAUUUCUUUAGUCAGGGGGUGGUGAAUCUGUGGAAUUCUUUGCCACAGAAGGCUGUGGAGGCCAAGUUAGUGGAUAUUUUUGUCAGAGAGAGAUAGGUUUUUGAUUAGUACAGUUGUCAGAGGUUAUGGGGAGAAGGCAGGCGUAUGGGGUUAGGAGGGAGAGAUUGAUCAGCCAUGAUUAAAUGGCGGAGUAGACUUCAUAGGCCGAAUGGCCUAAUUCUACUCCUAUCACCUAUAACCUUAUGACCUUAUGACCACCUUCUGCCUGUAACAAUACAAAGUGAUUAUUCCAUCGUUAGAAACUUGGUUGUAGUGAAAGUUAUGAUAUUGAAACUAUUUCAUGUAUUGAGUCGUGCAUCUGGUCCACACGGGAAACUCAUGGGAAAUGGAUGGAAUCACUGGGAAAAGGGUUGGAAAAGGACGGGAAAAUCCCAGGAUUGCCCUUCGAACCCGCACCCAACCCUCCCUGGUCCCAACCUGCCUUCCUCUCCCAUCCACCAACAUAACUCUACGAUCGCUCCAGACCUCUGUUCCCACUCCCUCUCCCACAGCCUUCUGCCCAUCCACCUGCCGUCCCACUCACAACGGAGCUGCCAUGAGCUCUCCCUGUUCCUGAUCCCCUUUCCCCUGCUUCUCUUUGGUGGUGAGAUCCGAGCUUCCCCUUUAAAAAUGCAGUUGGACCCAAAUUACAUUGUCAUGUCCUUCAAAGAUCCGGUCACAAAUUAAAAUGUAAUUAAUCUUCUAUUAAGGAUAGGAUAGGCUGAGGGGGUGGGAGACCUUAUAACAGGUACCUUAUCACAAGGAGCACAGAUAAAAUGAAUAGCCAUAGUGUUUUCCCCAGAAGAGGCAGUCUAAAGCAAGAGGCUCCAGGCUUAAGGUGAGAGGGGGCAGAUUUGAAAUGGUCCUGAAUCACACAAAGGGUGGUGCUUAUCUUGAGCAAGCUGCUAGAGGAAGUGAUGGAGGCAGAUACAAAUAUAUGACAUUUAAUAGAUAUUUAGAUAGGAACGUAAAUAGGAAAGGUUCAGUUCAGCUCAGUUCAGUUUAGUUUAUUGUCACGUGCACCAAGGUACGGUGAAAAGCUUUUGUUGCGUGCUAAACAGUCCGCAGAAAGACAAUCCAUGAUUACAAUCGAGCAAUUUACAGUGUAUAGAUAUCCAAGAAAAUUAUUAUUAAGAUUAAGAAUUAUUAUCUCAAUGGGGUUAGGUUAGGUAAAGGGAAGGUACAGCGAGACCUGGGUGUCCUUGUACACCGGCCACUGAAAGUUGGCGUGCAGGUACAGCAGGCCGUGAAGAAAGCUAACGGAAUGUUGGCCUUCAUAACAAGACGAUUUCAGUAGAGGAGUAAAGAGGUUCUUCUGCAGUUGUAUAGUGCCCUGGUGAGACCACAUCUGGAGUAUUGUGUACAGUUUUGGUCUCUCAAUUUGAGGAAGGACAUCCUUGUGAUUGAGGCAGUGCAGCGUAGGUUCCCGAGAUUGAUCCCUGGGAUGACGGGACUGUCAUAUGAGGAAAGAUUGAAAAGACUAGGCUUGUAUUCACUGGAGUUUAGAAGGAUGAGAGGAUAUAUAACAUUAUAAAAGGACUGGACAAGCCUAGAUGCAGGAAAAAUUUUCCCAAUGUGGGGAGAGUCCAGAACCAGAGGCCACAGUCUUAGAAUAAAGGGGAGGCCAUUUAAGACUGAGGUGAGAAAAACCUUUUUCACCCAGAGAGUUGUGAAUUUAUGGAAUUACCUGCCACUGAGGGCAGUGGGGGCCAAGUGACUGGAUGGAUUUAAGAGAGAGUUAGAUAGAGGUCCAGGGGCUAGUGGAGUCAAGAGAUAUGGGGAGAAGGCAGGCACGGGUUAUUGACAGGGGACGAUCAGCCAUGAUCACAAUGAAUGGCGGUGCUGGCUUGAAGGGCUGAAUGGCCUCCUCCUGCACCUAUUUUCCUAUGUUUCUAAAAUUAUAGUUAAAGUAAGAAAUGUUGCUGUAGGAGUAGAGAUUUAAGGGUGUGGAGCGAUUGUAAUAUGUGAUUGUAGAUCUACUUCUGUGGCUAGCACGUAAAUAGUCACCUGGUGUGGGCGCCAUCUUGGAAGCAAAAGGGCGCCAUCUUGUGAGGGAUGUGGACCAGUUGCAGGUAAGUGGGACUAGCCCAGGGAAGCAAUUUUGUCGGUCUGGACAACAUGGGCCAAUGGGUCUGUUUCCAUGCUGCGUAGCUCUCUGACUUAAUGUCCAGGUGUCGACCCAGCCGCUGGGGGUUUGGACACUGCCACCCCAUUAGUCCAUUGGCCACAGUCAACCCUGCCCUGUGAGGAUGGGGAUGAAUGCCUGAGGUAAAAGAAGAAUUAA
Leucoraja erinaceus (little skate) is the source of this 4047-nucleotide long non-coding RNA. RefSeq lists it as uncharacterized. Lineage: Eukaryota; Metazoa; Chordata; Chondrichthyes; Rajiformes; Rajidae. The record is from RefSeq and is a predicted model, not a curated record. The transcript has 3 exons.